Molecule: small RNA, 675 nt
Filed under: Pongo abelii (Sumatran orangutan)
Lineage: Eukaryota; Metazoa; Chordata; Mammalia; Primates; Hominidae
Description: processed transcript
Source: RNAcentral
UGCUGUAUAUCUGGUGAUUUACAUGUGUUUACACAGUAAUCUUCAUAGAGGUGGACGUAAUCCCGUUAUAUAGAGCAUGAAACUGAGGCCCUUGGGAGGUGACUUGCAAAGAUUCUGUUGAAGUAGUUCAUCAAGUUGCUACCAGAAUAGACUGUCUCCAUUGUGUGGAUGCUGAAACUGAACCCAGAAAGCUGACAUCGGCCUGGCUGCCUGGGGACGCAAGGCCCUGGACAUUGCCGAGAAUGAGAUGCCGGGCCUGAUGCGUAUGCGGGAGCGGUACUCGGCCUCCAAGCCACUGAAGGGCGCCCGCAUCGCUGGCUGCCUGCACAUGACCGUGGAGACGGCCGUCCUCAUUGAGACUCUCGUCACCCUGGGUGCUGAGGUGCAGUGGUCCAGCUGCAACAUCUUCUCCACCCAGGACCAUGCGGCGGCUGCCAUUGCCAAGGCUGGCAUUCCGGUGUAUGCCUGGAAGGGCGAAACGGAUGAGGAGUACCUGUGGUGCAUUGAACAGACCCUGUACUUCAAGGACGGACCCCUCAACAUGAUUCUGGAUGAUGGGGGUGACCUCACCAACCUCAUCCACACCAAGUACCCACAGCUCCUGCCAGGCAUCCGAGGCAUCUCUGAGGAGACCACGACUGGGGUCCACAACCUCUACAAGAUGAUGGCCAAUGG